RNAcentral lists this ribosomal RNA (943 nucleotides) under uncultured archaeon. RNAcentral's name for it is "bacterial SSU rRNA". It matches the Rfam family "Archaeal small subunit ribosomal RNA", at positions 1 to 922 of the family's 1478-position model. The record is from RNAcentral.
UUCCGGUUGAUCCUGCGGACCUCACUGCUAUCGGGGUGGGACUAAGAUAUGCAAGUCGUACGUCUCCCAGCCGCCGGGGGAGGCGUGGCGCACGGCUCCGUAACACGUGGCUAACCUACCCUUGGGACGGGGGUAACCCCGGGAAACUGGGGCUAAUCCCCGAUAGGCGAGGAUGCCUGGAAUGGUUCCUCGCCGAAAGGGCACCGGAACCGUGCUUCCGGUGUCGCCCAAGGAUGGGGCCGCGGCCGAUCAGGUUGUUGGUGGGGUAACGGCCCACCAAGCCGAUAACCGGUACGGGCCGUGAGAGCGGGAGCCCGGAGAUGGGCACUGAGACAAGGGCCCAGGCCCUACGGGGCGCAGCAGUCGCGAAACCUCCGCAAUGCGCGAAAGCGCGACGGGGCCACCCCGAGUGCCGCCCGCUGAGGGCGGCUUUUCCCCGGUGUAGAUAGCCGGGGGAAUAAGGGGAGGGCAAGUCUGGUGUCAGCCGCCGCGGUAAUACCAGCUCCCCGAGUGGUGGGGACGAUUAUUGGGCCUAAAGCGUCCGUAGCCGGCCCGGCAAGUCUCCCGUUAAAUCCAGCGAUCUAAUCGCUGGACUGCGGGAGAUACUGUCGGGCUAGGGGGCGGGAGAGGCCGGCGGUAUUCCCGGGGUAGGGGUGAAAUCCUAUAAUCCCGGGAGGACCACCAGUGGCGAAGGCUGCCGGCUGGAACGCGCCCGACGGUGAGGGACGAAAGCCGGGGGAGCGAACCGGAUUAGAUACCCGGGUAGUCCCGGCUGUAAACGAUGCGGGCUAGGUGUUGGCACGGCUACGAGCCGUGCCAGUGCCGCAGGGAAGCCGUUAAGCCCGCCGCCUGGGGAGUACGGCCGCAAGGCUGAAACUUAAAGGAAUUGGCGGGGGAGCACCACAAGGGGUGAAGCUUGCGGUUUAAUUGGAUCAACGCCGGA